AGGGAACCGCCUGAACUGAAACAUCUAAGUAGGGCGAGGAAGAGACAUCAAACGAGAUUCCGUAAGUAGUGGCGAGCGAACGCGGAAGAGGGCAAACCGAGAGUAGAAAUACUUUCGGGGUACGGAGCGCAUUUAGGACUUAAGUUGUUAACCGAACGGCAUGGGAAGGCCGGUCAGAGAGUGUGAGAACCACGUAGGUGAAAACGACAAGAGCUGAGCGAUUUCCAGAGUACGGCCAGACACGUGAAACCUGGUCGGAAGAUGGGGGGACCACCCUCCAACCCUAAAUACUACCCAGUGACCGAUAGCGUAUAGUACUGUGAAGGAAAGGUGAAAAGCACCCCGGGAGGGGAGUGAAAAAGAACCUGAAACCCUGUGCCUACAAGCACCUAGAGCACGUCAAUGUGUGAUAGGGUACUUUUUGUAGAACGGUCCGGCGAGCGAUUGUAUGCAGCAAGGUUAAGGACUUAAGGUCUGGAGCCGAAGCGAAAGCGAGUUUGAAAAGGGCGUUAAGUUGCAUAUAAUGGGCCCGAAACCGGGUGACCUACCCAUGGUCAGGUUGAAGUGGAAGUAAAAUUCCAUGGAGGACCGAACCGACCUCCGUUGAAAAGGCGGCGGAUGAACUGUGGGUAGCGGAGAAAUUCCAAUCGAACCCGGAGAUAGCUGGUUCUCCCCGAAAUAGUUUUAGGACUAGCCUCAAGUUAGAUACCUGGAGGUAAAGCACUGAAUAGCCUAGCGGCCGAGAGGUUAGCGAAGCUUAUCAAACUCAGAAUGCCAGAGUAUUGAUGCUUGGGAGUCAGACAGUGUCAGAUAAAUGUCAUUGUCAAAAGGGAAACAGCCCAGAUCUACAGCUAAGGUCCCAAAGUCAGGUUAAGUGGAAAACGAUGUGAAGAUACGCAGACAACCAGGAUGUUGGCUCAGAAGCAGCCACUCAUUCAAAGAGUGCGUAAUAGCUCACUGGUCGAGCGUCUUUGCGCGGAGAAUUUAACGGGGCUAAACCUGACACCGAAGCUUAGGCAAUCCAGUAAUGGAUUGGGUAGGGGAGCGUUGUAUACGCGGAGAAACAGUAGCGUAAGCGGCUGUGGAGUGUAUAGAAGUGAGAAUGCCGGAAUGAGUAGCGCGAAUGCAGUGAGAAUCUGCAUGGCCGAAAGCCUCAGGUUUCUGGAGGAAGGUUCGUCCGCUCCAGGUUAGUCGGGAGCUAAGGUGAGGCCGGAAGGCGUAGCCGAUGCACAGACGGUAGAGAUUCCGUCACCACCAAAAGAGUUAAGCACAGGGACACAUUUGAAGUCUCAGAGCCGGGUGUUGGUUCCGGUAGAGAUCGAGGGAAAUUAGUACCGAAGUCUGGGAUGGAAGAUGGCGAGAAAAGCUGUGUGUAUUUCUGAGGUGCCCGUACCGCAAACCGACACAGGUAGGUAGGAAGAAGAUUCUAAGGCCAACGGGAGAAGGGUUGUUAAGGAACUCGGCAAGUUGACCCCGUAACUUCGGAAUAAGGGGUGCUCAUGAAAGUGAGCCGCAGAGAAUAGGCCCAGGCAACUGUUUACCAAAAACACAGGUUUGUGCUAAAUCGAAAGAUGACGUAUACGAGCUGACGCCUGCCCGGUGCUGGAAGGUUAAAAGGAGAUGUGCAAGCAUUGAAUUGAAGCCCCAGUGAACGGCGGCCGUAACUAUAACGGUCCUAAGGUAGCGAAAUUCCUUGUCAGGUAAG
This 1705-nucleotide ribosomal RNA is filed under the name human gut metagenome. RNAcentral describes it as "bacterial LSU rRNA". It matches the Rfam family "Bacterial large subunit ribosomal RNA", at positions 178 to 1980 of the family's 2925-position model. The record is from RNAcentral.